UCCCUGUCGCCAGGUGGCUUCCCUUUGUCCACGCCAUUGUAACACGUGUGUCGCCCCGGAUGUAAGGGCCGUGCUGAUUUGACGUCAUCCCCGCCUUCCUCGCAGCUUACGCUGGCAGUCCCACCAGAGUCCUCAGCUUUACCUGUUAGUAACUAGUGGCAAGGGUUGCGCUCGUUAUGGCACUUAAGCCGACACCUCACGGCACGAGCUGACGACAACCAUGCAGCACCUCGCAAAUGGCUAUUGCUAGAAAAUGUGUUUCCACAUCGGUCCAAAUGCGUUCAAACCCGGGUAAGGUUCCUCGCGUAUCAUCGAAUUAAACCACAUGUUCCUCCGCUUGUGCGGGCCCCCGUCAAUUCCUUUGAGUUUCACCGUUGCCGGCGUACUCCCCAGGUGGAUCACUUAACGCUUUCGCUGUGCCGCUUACAGUGUAUCGCAAACAGCUAGUGAUCAUCGUUUACUGCGUGGACUACCAGGGUAUCUAAUCCUGUUUGAUCCCCACGCUUUCGUGCAUCAGCGUCAGUAAUGGCUUGGCAGGCUGCCUUCGCAAUCGGGGUUCUGCGUGAUAUCUAUGCAUUUCACCGCUACACCACGCAUUCCGCCUGCCUCAAACAUACUCAAGCCYCCCAGUUUCAACGGCAAUUCUAUGGUUGAGCCACAGACUUUCACCGCUGACUUAAAAGGCCGCCUACGCACCCUUUAAACCCAAUAAAUCCGGAUAACGCUCGGAUCCUCCGUAUUACCGCGGCUGCUGGCACGGAGUUAGCCGAUCCUUAUUCAUAAGGUACAUACAAAACGGGACACGUCCCGCACUUUAUUCCCUUAUAAAAGAGGUUUACGAUCCAUAGAACCUUCAUCCCUCACGCGACUUGGCUGGUUCAGGCUUACGCCCAUUGACCAAUAUUCCUCACUGCUGCCUCCCGUAGGAGUUUGGUCCGUGUCUCAGUACCAAUGUGGGGGACCUUCCUCUCAGAACCCCUAUCCAUCGUCGGUUUGGUGGGCCGUUACCCCGCCAACUGCCUAAUGGAACGCAUGCC
Molecule: ribosomal RNA, 1037 nt
Filed under: Parabacteroides distasonis
Lineage: Bacteria; Pseudomonadati; Bacteroidota; Bacteroidia; Bacteroidales; Tannerellaceae
Description: partial 16S ribosomal RNA
Source: RNAcentral